Long non-coding RNA from Neomonachus schauinslandi (Hawaiian monk seal), 100 nucleotides. RefSeq lists it as uncharacterized. The record is from RefSeq and is a predicted model, not a curated record. Lineage: Eukaryota; Metazoa; Chordata; Mammalia; Carnivora; Phocidae. The transcript has 3 exons.
UCUGGCUUUACAACUGACUAUGUUAUGACCUUAGGAGACCUACGUGAAAGGGUUGGAAGCCUUGAUGUUUGAGUAGACAAGAGAAGACUGAAAAGUACAG